GAUGGCCAGACUGAAACCAAACUUCAUUCCACCCUGUCAUAUUGCAGUUUCUGCUGGAUAACUCGCAUCAAGAUGACAGGGUAGAAAGUGUUUAGGACAGAGAAAGUUAAGCAAGCAACUUAACUAUUGUAUUCUGUUGAACAGAUGCUUUUUGUUGUACCCACAUACAUGGCUAUAGCCAUCACUUCAGUAGGACCAGAAAACAGAGGGAUAUAAGGUCGGGUAGGAGAAAGGGAAAAUGGAAAAUAGGGCAUCUGGGGGUGGCACCUAAGCAACCUUUCCUCUUCAAUGUUGAAUACAAUCUAUGUAAAUGACUUCAAGUAUGUCUGACCUUUUGUAGGAAGGUAACAUUUUUGACCCUGGUCAUGUACCCAGUGGUUCUUUGCCACGUUUCUUUUUAGUAGGAACUGUUCUUCAAUGCAGAUAUUGUCUCCUUGAUUGUGUACACAUUGUGAACAAAAUCCUAUUUUUAAAAGCCUAUUUUCCUCAUUCCUGAAACCUCCUAACCCGGUUGACUUGUUGGAGUGCAUUUCAUGCAUUCUUAGUAACAAGGUUGAAGGAAACGCCUAGUUCAGUCACAGCUAGGGAGUUCAUGCACACUCCCUGCAUUCUGCUGCAAAGUGCACAUGUCCAUGCUGGGAAAGGAUCACAGACUUCACUGAAUGCCACAGCAUGACUGUUCAGAGUGUUGAUAGUCUCCCAGUGUGGAUCAACUGAAGGCAGUAAAAUAAGGCACGGCUAGUUACUGAAGAUGGAAGCAGAAAGGAAAAACUCUCCAACACUGAGUAAAAGCAAACAGCCUGUGAAAACAGAAUGGGGGUCUCAGAGUGUUGUAUUUACUUACUUUCAAGGGGACCUUAACAGUGUGAUAGAUGAACACUUUUCUAGAGCAUUAAGCAAUGCCAAGAACCCACAAGAUCUGAGCACAAAGCACAAGAGUGAGGACGUUAUCCUGAAGAAUGAUAGCCACAUGUCUCCCCAUCAGUGGAAUUUCUCUUCUCAUUGGACAAAGUCAUAUCAAUCAUCUCCUGCUACAAACCUAUCAAAUUCUGAUCUGAAUUUGUUGGCUGCUGCUACAGACCACCAUCAGGCAUCAGUUCUGCGGAAUCCUCCUAUUCAGCCUGCAGAUUUGUGGCACUUCCCUUCGAUAGCUAAUCCAAGUCUUACUGAUUCAGGAUAUCCUCGCUCCUUGCCUGACCCUCCUAUGGUGCAGGGACCAAUGUCUGACGGGAAAUAUGGUUCUCUUCUUGAUUUUCUGCAACAGGAAAGGUGCCCAGCAUCUAGCCAGGAAUCUACCGUGAAGCAAAGCUCUAGCUCAGCCUGUAUUACUGGAUCAGCUAGGUUACAAAAUAUGAGUCAAAGUUUAACUCCCGGGGGAGGUUCUUUCAAAAAAGCGGGCUAUACAGAAGUUUCUCUCACAAAAUUUCUCUCUUAUUACAAGACUGACUUGAUUUGCAAGAGAGAGAUACGUAUUCAGUUGACCCUUUACAUAGAAACCCCAUGUGUUUAGCACAAUAAGCAAUACACAUUAAUCAAUAUCACACCCCAAUAAUGUCCCUUUUAUAGCAAGCUAAAAUGAUACAAGAGACAAGGUCAUAAGUUAACAAUUCAAAGCCCGUGGCUGGAAGUAUUUUUAACGGAGCAUCAAUUAUAUGUACUGUAGUACUUGGGAAUUGUGUAUUGGCUGCAUAGUGUAGCACCAUAAUUGUUUCCUCGAAAGUUUCUUGCAUAGCUCUUUCCCCUCUGUUAUGUUGAGGAGAUACCAAAUAUAUAAGUAAGCUAUAAUAUAUUCAGAACACACACAAAUGAUUGUGCGCCCCUACCUCUUAGAUACCACUUUUCACCAGUAGACCCCAAAGUGGGUAACAAACAGCUGGGUGUGCGCUGGGUGCUCAGAGUCUGGCUAUAAAUGGAGUGGAAUGUUUAGAUAUUAUUUGAGCAAUCUGACACUUGUGAUUUCAGUUACUGUAUAUGGGGUAUAAUUAAUGCUUAUACAGCACCCAUUAAAAAAAUGUCCAUGUGCCUAACUUUUUUCCCUUCCCCAGUUUCUGCUUGUUACAACAACAAUUGGGGUAAAAGGCUGGUUCUUGAGCCAUGCUUGUCUCCCAGCCAGACCCAGGAAAUGGCACUAAUAUUCACUUCAAACACUACUGAAUAAAUAUUUAACAUGAUGUUCAGUACACUCUAUAGACAGGGUAUAAUUCACACUAUGGCUAUAACCGUUCCUUUCUGAAAGGGGUUAAGGUAGUCCAGGGGUUAAGACACUAGGAUUUAGAAGACCUGGGUUCAAGUCCCUGCUCUGCCACAGCCUUCUUGUGACACCUUGGACAAGUCACUUAGUCUCUCUGUCCCUAUCUGUAAAAUGGGGUUGAUAGCACUGCUACGCUCCCAGAGCGGACAUGAGGAUAAAUACAUGAAAGACACUGAGGCACUCCAAUGCUAUGGUGAUGGGGGCCAGAGACGUAUGACAGAACAGCUUCAGACAAACUCAGCCAACAGAGAAAUCUGGUAGUUAGUUAUUUGUAACAUGGUUGCAACCAUAGGUGAUCCCAUUCAGAUAGGCACCAGUCACUGAACAAAAAGAUGAUCCCUGCCCUAAGGAGCUUAGUGACUAAAAUUUACACCAUUCAGGGACCCAUGAGAGAUGAGUUUAGUCCAUUUUCCUAGCGCCCACGUCGCAAAAUCAGCCACUGCAGUUGGGACUAAUUGGCACCAUUAUUAGUCUGUCCCACCUAGGACUGAACAGACAUGGACACUAAAGUUCUCCCCUUAAUGUCCCUCCAGGCUAGGUUGGACACACUGGUGGGGAUGCUGGCACUGCUGCUACCUAUGCCAUCCCUGUUCUCUGGGUUAAUACAGGACUCCUCUAGCCAGGGCUGUCAACCUGGCCCUUUCUCCCCAUUAAUUUCACAAGAAAAUGGUUUUUAAAACUCCUUAAAAGAGACACUGUGGAACAUGUAGCACAUCUAGUAUGGGCCGGACAGCUGAAUGUCCAUAGCUGGAAGGGGCAAUGAUACAUCAACAUAGCAAUUUAGAGUAGAAGGUGUUUUUAAAAAUACCCAGCCAUGAAUAUAAACAGGUGAACACUCUGCCUCCCAUUUGCCUGGACAGGCUGCCAUCCCAGCUCUGCUAAGGGUUCCAGCAUUGCUAACGUUAGUGGAGCUGAAAAGGAGAAAUGAGAUUCUCAAGUCAGACUGCGGAGAGUCUUUGUUCUCAGACCGCAGAUGGAACACGCAGUGUGGGUUUUUGCAACUGAGAUUUUUUGCUUUAGGUCCAUUAAUAGAUGGAUUUAGCUUUGUGUUUACAUUGCAUGUGUCUUUCCUAGAUUUCUCCUUGCAGGGUGUAAUGUUUGCCAUUGUUAAUAUUUGCAAAUACGAAGUGAUGUUCUUACUACAUUAAAGAUGUGCUCUGGACCUACAGGAUUCUAAUUAAGGCCUGGCAGUGUGGGUCUGGGUAUUAAAGCCUAUGGAACUCACUCUUGCGCUAACAGGAAGCAUUUCAUGAAGUCUGGGUGAGCAAGCAUAGGACCAGGACAGAGAAGCAAUACUGCUAACACCAGAGCUGGUUGAAACUUUAAAAAUCAAAAGGUCAGGGAAAAACUGUUGGGGCGGGGGGAAAAGGUUGCCAUUUUCCAACUACUGUCUUCCCUUUGACGAUCUCACAAGGCUUUAAUAUGUUUGAAAAGCUUCUAACAGCCCUGUGAAGUACACCACUGUGCAGAUGGGCAAUCUACAGCACAGAAAAAUGAAGUUACUUGCUCAAGUUCACACAGUGAGUCAUUACAGCUCUGGGAUGUGUGCAGCUCCUCCCCUGGCAGUCUAUAAUCAGGCCACAAGAAUUCUUACUUCUAGUUCUUGGCUCUAACUGAGAGAGGAUACUUCUCAAUGCACUAGGGAUGUUUUUCUAGAACUGCUAAUGUUUACAUUUAUAAAAGCACAUAAUGCCAUGCAAUGGUCCUGCAACACCUGUGCCAAAAGCUGGGUUGCAAAAGCACAAUGUUUCGUGUAAGCACUGCUGCCUGUGUGUUGUGUUGUGCCACUCCAGCUUAUGACAUUUUUUCCCCUUAAAAUUAAGAAAGGAAAGCCAGCUCCUAUCAAAGCCCAGGAAACCCCAGCAUCAGCCUUGCCAGUUCAGGUGUCCAGUCUCACGAUAGAAGACGAGACUUAUACUUUUAGCCAAUGGACGUUUCUGCUUUAUGCCUGGAGAGUUCUUUCCAUGAACUUUUAUAAUUUGCAGUUGUGAAUCAGGAGGAAAUAGACCACAGCUCUUCUGUGUUUUUUCACCAGCCAGUUGCAUGUCUAAACAUGCUAAUAUGCUAUUUUGUAAAUGAGAGUGAUUUACAUCUAAGUAAAUAACUUCCAGCCUAUGUGAUUCUACCAUA
RNA transcript from Chelonia mydas (Green sea turtle), 4381 nucleotides. It is a transcript of the gene named vestigial like family member 1, with no coding region annotated. The transcript is spliced from 5 exons. NCBI's taxonomy places the organism in Eukaryota, Metazoa, Chordata, Testudines, Cheloniidae. The record is from RefSeq and is a predicted model, not a curated record.